This is a long non-coding RNA of Malurus melanocephalus (red-backed fairy wren), 575 nucleotides long. RefSeq lists it as uncharacterized. The record is from RefSeq and is a predicted model, not a curated record. The transcript has 3 exons. NCBI's taxonomy places the organism in Eukaryota, Metazoa, Chordata, Aves, Passeriformes, Maluridae.
GCAGCCACCCUGAGACCCUGCUGAACCUGGUGGUGCUGUCCCAGCACCUGGGCAAGGCCCCCGAGGUCACCAAUCGUUACCUGUCCCAGCUGAAGGAYGCCCACAAAAACCACCCCUUCAUCAAGGAGUACCAGGCAAAGGAGAACGACUUUGACCGCCUGGCCCUGCAAUAUGCACCCAGUGCCUGAGGAGAGGGGGUGGGAACCCUGGGACACCCUGGGGACACUCAGGGACACCCUGGGACACCCCUGGGUGCUGGGACUGACAGAAAAUCCACCCUAGACCACAGAAAAUCAACCUUGGACCACAAAAAAUGCUCCUGGACCCCAGAAAAUCCACCCUGGACCCCAGAAAAUCCACCCUGGAACACAGAAAAUCCACCCUGGACCACGGAAAAUACCCCUGGACCCCAGAAAAUCCACCCUGCACCCAGGCCUGGCCUCGCUGGUGCUGCCCCUGUGGCAAUAUCUGAAUUUGGGGGGUUUAAGCCCYGCCUAAACCCUGAGCUCUGCCUAAAGCACAGAUCCACAGUGUCCCUGAGCCCCUCAUGCCCUGAAUUUGGGGAAUUUCGGGGU